UAUAUUCAUUGACGCCUCCUCUGUAUAACUAUGUAGUCAUGUUUAUGACGAGCCAUACGACACGAUAGUUUAAAGCACGAAGUGUGGAAAUUUUAAACUAUCCUCUGGUAUCCCUGUUUACAGCUAGCAACACUGCGUGCCUAUGUCAGCCAUUAUGUUUUUUCGUGCGAUACGAUUACGACUAGUGUCUUAAAGUAAUUAAAAUAUCUAGUGUAAGAACAUAAAAUGAACAGAAGAUAAUGAAGAAGUUGUUGGAUAUCCUCGAUUACGAUUUGGAUGAAGCACCUCGAACAGAUCGAAUAAUAAGUUCGAGUGAUGAAGAUGAAGAGACACCUAAGAAGAAACGCAGGCGUAUUUUGCCUAUUGAAGAGUCUGAUGAUGAACAAGCAGAUGAAGAUAAAGAGAACAUCUUGCAAUUAAUUGGAGAGUCAGAUAUGAAAAAGAAUGUAAUUUCCAUACAGAAAGGAUUGGAUAAAAAAGGCAAAAAGAAAUUGGAAGAAAAAAAUCCCUCAUUCAAGAACUGCUUCGUAUACGCCCCGACAUUAAAUGAAGAAAUUGAAAUAACAUUAAACAAAAAUACUAAAACCAGAGACCAAAAAUUGUGCGAAAAACAAAAUCAAAUUGGGUUAAUUAUUAGUAACUUAAAUAAAAUAUUAAAAGAUCUUAUAAUAAAAAAAUGAAAAAGAACAUGUUGAAUCGCUGGGGGACUCUAUAAAAUUACUGGCAGACCUUCAUUUUAUGGAAACAGAAACUAGAAAGGCAGUUAUUUUACCUGGCUUAAACAAAACGCUCAAGGACACCUUAGAAAAAACGCAAACCACUACGUUCCUCUUCGGAAAUGAUUUACAUAAAAUCAUUAAAAAAUCUAAAGAAAUAGAAAAGUCUAUCAAAGAUAUUCAGCAAAAUAAAAGUUUAAACUUUUGGAGCCCGUCCUACACCAACCAUCCAAUGCAGGGCGGGCCAAGAAAAAAAUACCUAAGCAAAAUAAGAAUGUAUCAAAGAAAUUACUACCGGAACACAGCAGCAGCAGCAGUCGGUCAACCCCGGAGAACCCAAAGGCAGUGGUCACCUCGUCGUCCAGCUCGAGGCAGACGUCACCGCCUUCACCGCCGAGACCACAAGAAAUAGCCGAGGUAUGUGUGGCUGGACGACUAACAUAUUUCUUUGACAAGUGAGCCAAAUUUAUUAAAAACAAAACAGUGUUAGAAUGGGUUCGUAAAGGUUAUGAAAUACCUUUAAUAUCAACACCUAACCAGAAAUAUAUACCAAAAAAUGAAAAGUUCACUUCUACAGAAAAACAAAUAAUCCAUGACUCAUUAAAUAAAUUAUUGAAAAUAGGGGCAGUAAAAUACUGUAAACCUGUAAAUAAUAAAUAUUUAUCAAAAAUAUUUUUUGUACCAAAGCCAGAUGGAACAGCUCGAUUUAUCUUAAAUCUAAAAUCUUUUAAUAAACAUGUACUUACACAACACUUCAAAAUGGAAGAUAUUAGAACUGCCAUUAAAUUAAGCAACAUGGAGUCUUACCUUGCCUCCCUGGAUCUUCAGGAUGCUUACUUCUGUUUAAGAAUUCACACAAAUUCCAAAAAAUAUUUAAGAUUUCUUUUUGACAACAAUAUGUACGAAUUUCAGGUACUUCCAUUUGGUCUCUCUUCUGCUCCUUAUGUCUUCACCAAGUUGAUAAAACCUAUAACAACUUGCCUCAGAGAACAAGGUCUACUUUCAGUCAAUUAUUUGGAUAACUUUUUAUUUAUUGGGAACUCACAGAUUGAAUGCUCUCAUAAUAUUUUAACCAGCCAAAACUUACUAGAAUCAUUGGGUUUAAAGGAAAAAAAGUAACAUACAUCCCUCAAAGCAAUGUAAAUUUUUAGGUUUUGUUCUAGAUUGUUCUAAGUAUUCUGUAUCAUUACCAAACGAAAAACGCACCAGCAUACAUAUAUAAUAAAAUAAAAUCAUUCAUGCGUCUCAAACAUCUAUAAGAUCUUUUGCAUCCCUAAUUGGUAUUUUAAUAUCGAUUUGCCCUGCUGUUCCAUAUGGCCUAAUGUAAACAAAACGAUUGGAACGCCAUAAAUUUCUUAGUCUUAAAAAGAAUGACAAUAAUUUUUAGUCUAAAAUGGUACUUACUUAUGAAGUAAAAGAGGAUUUAAAAUGUUGGAAAAAAAACAUGUCUGUUUGGCUAGUAAUCCUAUUUGAGAAGGUAUUCACAAAAUUGAGAUAUUCACAGACUCUUCUCGAACUGGUUGGGGUAUUGUAUGUGGUUCUAAAAAGCUACACGGUUUUUGGAAUAGAGAGGAUAGGAAAUCACACAUAAAUUAUUUAGAAUUAAAAGCUAUAUAUUUUGGCCUACAGUGCUUUGCUAAAGAUUUAAGAAAUUGUGACAUUUUAUUGCGUUGUGACAACACAACUGCAAUAUCAUACAUUAAUCGAUAUGGAGGGAUUCACCACAAACAUUUAAAUGAUCUUACCCGUCAAAUAUGGAAAUUUUGCGAAUUAAGAAAAUUAUUUAUAUUUGCUUCUUAUAUAGCUUCUAAAGAUAAUUACAUAGCAGAUAAAGAGUCAAGAAAUACUAACGAACAAACUGAAUGGCAGCUUUGCAACGACGCAUUUAACAAAAUCAAAUUAAAAUUUGGACGCCCAGUAAUUGAUUUAUUUGCAUCAAGAGAAAAUGCUAAAUGUAAAAGGUUUAUUUCCUGGCAUAUCGAACCUAAUUGCUGGGCAGUAGACGCUUUUACAGUUUCAUGGACAAAUUUAAAAUUUUAUGCUUGCCCACAAUUUUCUCUCAUUUUAAAAUGUUUAAAUGAUAAAGCAGAAGGAAUAGUGGUAGUUCCUUUAUGGCCGUCUCAAGCUUGGUUUCCUAUAUUUAUGUCUUUAAAAAGGUCACCCAUAUUGAAAUUUUACCCAAAUAGGUCAUUGUUAUCAUCUCCUUUCAGAGACCACCAUCCACUAUACAAGAACCUUACACUGAUUGCCGCAGUAUUAUCAGCAAAGUCUACUUAAAUAAGAAAAGGAAUAACCUGUGAAAGUAUCAAUAUAAUUUUAAAUUCAGUAUCAGAUAAUACAAUAAAACAAUAUAAUUCAUGUUUAAAACAA
Cydia splendana is the source of this 3086-nucleotide long non-coding RNA. RefSeq lists it as uncharacterized. NCBI's taxonomy places the organism in Eukaryota, Metazoa, Arthropoda, Insecta, Lepidoptera, Tortricidae. The transcript has 2 exons. The record is from RefSeq and is a predicted model, not a curated record.